UUAGAUAUCUGGAAUUGUAAGAAUAUAGAAUCUUUAACAGUUUCUGAACAACAUGGACAUGAUUUAAUGGCCUUGCGUCGUAUUUACAUUAGGGAUUGCCCCAAUUUUGUAUCUUUUCCAAAAGGAGGAAUUCGUGCCCCCGACCUUUCAUCCUUUUCGGUCUCCAAUUGUGAGAGUCUGAUGUCUCUGCCAGAGAAGAUGCAUGUACUCCUUCCUUCUCUUAAUUCUUUUCAAAUUAGUUUAUGUCCAAGAAUUGAGUUGUUUCCUGAAGGAGGCUUGCCUUCCAAUGUUAAAUAUAUGAAAGUCUGGACAUGUGACAAACUCUUUGCCAGACGGGCGGGAUGGGGUUUGCCAAAACUCCUAUCUCUUAUAGUCAGUUGCACAAAUGAAGACGUGGAGUCCUUUCCAGAGCCAGGGUUGCUGCCUUCUUGUCUGCCUGACCUUCGUAUCUCUGGAUUUCCAAAUAUGAAAUCUUUGGACAACAAAGGGCUUCAAGACCUCACCUCUCUUCAACAAUUGUUGGUCAUGAACUGCCCCAAGCUCGAGUACAUUCCAAAAGAGGGGUUGCCUACCUCCCUUUCAAUAAUAGAGAUCAUUAGAUGCCCUUUGUUGAGGAAACGGUGGCAAAGCAAGAAAAAAAAAAGAGCGGCGAAACAUUCCGGACGUCGAUCACAUAUUGAUUGAUGAUGAAGAAUAUAUUGAAUGAGCCAAAAGCCUCGGAAUUAUACAUGCACAUCAUCUCGAAGGCGGCAACAACAUAUUCACUUAGGUUCACCUUCCAUUGUUAUAUAUGCUUAGAAUUGAAAAUUUUUCGCUACUGCCCGCCCCAGUUGAAUUUUCUUCUUAAGUUGCGUGCCUCCCUUUCUUCUAUAUGGAUCAACAAAUGCCCUAAGUUGAAGAAAGGAAACGAACAGCAAAGAGCUUGGGUUACAAUUACGAGAAGCAAAUAGAAUUUGUGAUCCUGCGAGGCAUGAACUCUUGAAGGUACAACAUGGGUGUAAUACCAUCGAAGCAAAAUAUUGAUGCUCUAAAAGUUAGUGUUUUCUGGAAUGGUGUUGUUUUCAAUUGGAUUAUAGGGGCUAAUUGUCAAUAAAAUUAAUCCUUCAUGGAACAAAGUGCUUUGCCACUUUUUAGUUCUUCCUGGUCACCUUCCAUUGUCAUAUGCUUAGAAUUGAAAAUCUUUUGGUGCUUCUGGCCAAUCUCCUUCCCAUUUGGGAUUUUCCUCUUAAGACGAAGGGUUGCUUGCCUCCCUUUUUAUAGUAGAAAUCAACAAAUGCCUUUUGUCGAGGAAACAGUGGCAAACCAAGAAACAAAAAAGAACGGCGAAAGAUUCCUAACGUCGAUCACAUACUGAUUCAUGGUGAAUAUAUUGGAUGAGCUAAAAUCCUUGCAAGAGUCCCAUUUUCUGUUAUAAUGCAUGCACAUCAUCUCAAAGGCGACAACAAUAGACAACAAAAUAUAGAAGAUUGAAGAGCUCAGAUAAAGAGUACAAGACACAGAGACGGACAUAUAGAAUAUGUUGUAUUUGCUCCUUGAAUGCAAAAAGAGUGCUUAACUACUUGGAAGUUCUUCCAUUACUUGACCGUUCUCCGUUCUUAAAAUCUCUAAUUUUCCAAACAUAAAAUCUUUGGACAAGAAGGGGCUUCAACCGCUGACAUCUCUGGAAGAAUAAUGGAUCUAUAACUGCCCUGUUCUCUAGUACAUGCCAGAAGAGGGGCUACUUGCCUUCGUUUCUAUUCUAUUGAUCAGCAAAUGUCCUUUGUUAAAGAAAUAGUAUCAUAGAAAAAAAGGAAGAGAAUGGUGCAAGACUGCUCAUGUCCAUCUAAUAAUGAUUGAUGAUGAAUUGAUUGAAUAUUUGAAUGAGCUAAAAUUAUAGUAGGAAUCCCCACUUAGAAUGUAGGAGAUGGAAGAGCUUGGUUAUGAAUACACAAAGUCGAGGCUUGCAUAUACACAGAUCAUGAGAAAUUUUGGAACUUUAGAUUUGCUGAAGUGUAGGCUUUGAAUUACCAAUCACUACCUUUUCUUCUGAUAGUUGCUAUGUGGGAAAAGGGUGCCUCAUAUCCAGCUUGCACUGCGCCAACUGUUGCAGGUUUUGAUGCAAAACUGUUAACAGAUUAUCUGUUCAUUAAACAAUGCAGAAAUGGAAAUUUUAUAUCGUUUGUCAUCUAAGGACCCUUUGAAGUUCUCCAAGAGGUGGAAGCUUACCCUAUAUCAGAAUCAUCCUUAAUUCUUACACAUUCGUCGUCUAUUCUCAGCCUUGUUGACGUGGUAUGAAUUUCUCCCUCAUUUAAGGAGGUGGGCCCCGCUGGAUUUGUAAGUCCUUGUGUGGGUUUUGGUUUGAUUUCUAGCAAGAGAGACAAAUAAAAGGGUACUAAAGUGAGAAAAUAGAGACCAACCUUCAUUUGUUUUCAGCAAAAGAAGAGUUUGUAUUUCUUUCUUUUGGAGAAUAAUCUCUAUUGUGUGAUAAUGAGAUUUCGGUGUAUUGGGGCUUUGGAUUCUAAGUGAUUUUCUUUUUAUUAUUUUGUACUCCGUCUUUUAAUAGUGAAUUUUCU
Alnus glutinosa is the source of this 2552-nucleotide long non-coding RNA. RefSeq lists it as uncharacterized. NCBI's taxonomy places the organism in Eukaryota, Viridiplantae, Streptophyta, Magnoliopsida, Fagales, Betulaceae. The transcript is spliced from 11 exons. The record is from RefSeq and is a predicted model, not a curated record.